AGCGUAGGUGGCCUAACAUGUCAACUGUGAAAACCCGGAGCUCAACUCCGGACUUGCAGUUGAAACUGGUAGGCUUGAGGACGGUAGAGGAAGACGGAACUGCCAGUGUAGGGGGUAAAAUCCUUAGAUAUUGGCAGGAACGCCGGUGACGAAGGUGGUUUUUCUGGGCCGGUUCUGACACUGAUGCUCGAAAGGCCAGGGGGAGCGAACG
This 211-nucleotide ribosomal RNA is filed under the name uncultured Mesotoga sp. RNAcentral describes it as "partial 16S ribosomal RNA". It matches the Rfam family "Bacterial small subunit ribosomal RNA", at positions 568 to 774 of the family's 1533-position model. Lineage: Bacteria; Thermotogati; Thermotogota; Thermotogae; Kosmotogales; Kosmotogaceae. The record is from RNAcentral.